This 69-nucleotide non-coding RNA is filed under the name Heterosigma akashiwo. Lineage: Eukaryota; Raphidophyceae; Chattonellales; Chattonellaceae. The record is from RNAcentral.
GGGGAAGGAACGGUGAUGGUUACUACUAUUCUAUUUAAUUCUCCUUUUUUUCAUUUUUUUUUUUUUUUA